CGGGGGAGGUAUCGUACAAUGUAGCCGUAUCGACGCCCCGAAAGGGAAGUGGCUUACGGGUGAGUAACGCGUGGGAACAUGCCCUUUGGUACGGAACAACAGCUGGAAACGGCUGCUAAUACCGUAUGCGCCCUACGGGGGAAAGAUUUAUCUCCGAAGGAUUGGCCCGCGUUGGAUUAGCUAGUUGGUGGGGUAAAGGCCUACCAAGGCGACGAUCCAUAGCUGGUCUGAGAGGAUGAUCAGCCACACUGGGACUGAGACACGGCCCCACUCCUACGGGAGGCAGCAGUGGGGAAUAUUGGACAAUGGGCGCAAGCCUGAUCCAGCCAUGCCGCGUGAGUGAUGAACGCCUUAGGGUUGUAAAGCUCUUUCAGCGAGGAGGAUAAUGACGCUACUCUCAUAAGAAUCCCCGGCUAACUUCGUGCCAGCAGCCGCGGUAAUACGAAUGGGGCUAGCGUUGUUCGGAAUCACUGGGCGUAAAGCGCACGUAGGCGGACUUUUAAGUCAGGGGUGAAAUCCCGGGGCUCAACCCUGGAACUGCCUUUGAUACUGGAAGUCUGGAGGCCGAUAGAGGUGAGUGGAACUCCGAGUGUACAGGUGAAAUUCGUAGAUAUUCUGAAGAACACCAGUGGCGAAUGCGGCUCACUGGCUCGGUACUGACGCUGAGGUGCGAAAGCGUGGUGGAGCAAACAGGAUUAGAUACCCUGGUAGUCCCACGCCGUAAACGAUGGAAGCUAGCCGUCAGGAUGCAUGCAUCUUGGUGGCGCAGCUAACGCAUUAACCUUCCCGCCUGGGGAGUACGGUCGCAGAUUAAAACUCAAAGGAAUUGACCGGGGUCUCGCACUAGCGAUGCAGCAUGUGGUUUAAAUUCGAGCCACGCGCAGAACCCUUACCAGCCCUUGACAUUUGCUGCCGACCUGAAAGAUCCAAGGGUUCCAUUACGCGGACCCCACGACAAGAUGCUGCAUGGGACUGUCGCUCAGCUCCGUGCUCAUGCACAUGUAGGAUCACGUUCCGCCACGAGCGUCAACCCCUUCGCCAUUUAGUUGCAGCAUUGAAUUUCGGCCAACUCUUAGCGGACUUGCUGGUGAUAAGUCCGAACAGGCAGUGCGGCACUUGAACUUCAGUCCUCAUUCUUACUGCUUGGCUACACGAUGCUCAAUUGCCAGCUGACCAAAUGC
This 1181-nucleotide ribosomal RNA is filed under the name Roseibium aggregatum. RNAcentral describes it as "bacterial SSU rRNA". It matches the Rfam family "Bacterial small subunit ribosomal RNA", at positions 38 to 1247 of the family's 1533-position model. Lineage: Bacteria; Pseudomonadati; Pseudomonadota; Alphaproteobacteria; Hyphomicrobiales; Stappiaceae. The record is from RNAcentral.